Perognathus longimembris pacificus (Pacific pocket mouse) is the source of this 489-nucleotide long non-coding RNA. RefSeq lists it as uncharacterized. The record is from RefSeq and is a predicted model, not a curated record. Lineage: Eukaryota; Metazoa; Chordata; Mammalia; Rodentia; Heteromyidae. The transcript is spliced from 4 exons.
GCCCUGGCCUGGCUGGGGGUCCCGGCGCAGCCACGAAGGCAGCACCGCCGAACCACGAGCUGGGGAGGAGCGAAGACCAACGAAGGACUCCCGGCCGUCUGUGUGCUCGGAAAACGGAGAAUGACAUGGAAAGGGGGUGAACGGGACGUCUGCUUUUGGUGUCCACUUUCUGUUGCCGCUUCUAGACGGCCGAGGGCAGCUCUUCAUCCGAGGUCUUCCUCGUCUUUGGCACCUGUGAACGUUCGCACCCAGGGUUGACACAGCCUCUGAAAUGCCUUUUUUCGAGCAAUUGGCCAGGAACCUGGGGUGCCAUCACACUGCUUACCUACAGCCAGUGCACUCCUGGCAUUCCUCUGGCCUGGAUGAGGAGGAAGGCACUGGGCCUGCCCGCCGAGGGGUUCUGAGUACAGAGGAUGAUGUGUUGGCAGCAGAGGGCAGGCCGGCUCCUCCAGAGUCAGGGAGGCAGCAUCGAGUACUGCGUUUUAGGCU